RNAcentral lists this ribosomal RNA (691 nucleotides) under Crenosoma striatum. Its description in RNAcentral is "eukaryotic LSU rRNA". It matches the Rfam family "Eukaryotic large subunit ribosomal RNA", at positions 1 to 645 of the family's 3401-position model. Lineage: Eukaryota; Metazoa; Nematoda; Chromadorea; Rhabditida; Crenosomatidae. The record is from RNAcentral.
CAACCUGAGCUCAGACGUGAUUACCCGCUGAACUUAAGCAUAUCACUUAGCGGAGGAAAAGAAACUAACUAGGAUUCCCACAGUAACGGCGAGUGAACUGGGAAAAGCCCAGCGCUAAAUCUUUCGAUGUUACAUCGUAAAGAAAUGUAGCGUAUAGGUGUAGUUAUCGGUUUGCUUGGCAUAUCCAAAGUUCCUUUGAUAGGGGCCAUAUUCCAGAGAGGGUGCGAGACCUGUGCGGAUAGCGGAACAUGCCGUAUGAUUAUACCUUGGAGUCGGGUUGCUUGAAAGUGCAGCCUUAAGUGGGUGAUAAACUUCAUCUAAGGCUAAAUACAGACGCGAAUUCGAUAGCAAACAAGUACUGUGAAGGAAAGUUGCAAAGAACUUUGAAGAGAGAGUUCAAGAGAACGUGAAAUCGUUGAAGUGGAACCGGAGAGAGUUGACGUAGUAUGGUGGAUAAGUAUUGCAAGAGUCGCUUCAAACCAUGAAUGUGAUCGAGUAAUAUGUACGUCACCAAAGACUGCGCUGACAGCAUCGACUACACGCUCUGAACUGUGUCGACAUGUUGCCUACUCUAGUAUAUAGAGUGGUGUCUUGUGUUACGUGGUGAAGUUUGUUGUUAUGUUGUUGAUGUUGAUAAGUAUGAUUAUACAUCGAGUAUAAUUAUGUCAGUGUAAAAGUCAACCACCUCUCC